CUCAAACUCACAACCCCAAGAUCCAGAGUCUCAUGCUCUACUGACUGAGCCAGCUAGGUGCCCCAACCUUUAUUUUUUUAGAGCAGUUUAGGUUUACCGCAAAAUGGAAUGGAAAGAAAACAUAACUAAAUAGGAAAUGCAGAUUUUCCCAUAUACUUCCUGUCCCCACCCAAGCACAGGUGACCCCACCAUCAACACCAGAGUGGUAUAUUUGUUACAGUCGAGAAACCAACACUAUAAUCUCGAAACCAACACUGACAAACCAACAAAGCCUAUAGUUUACCUUAGUGUUCACGCUUAGUGUUGUACAUUCUAUAGGUUUGGAUAUAUAAUAACAUGUAUCUGCCGUUAUAGUAUUUAGAAUAGUCUCAGUGCCCUAAAAAUCCUGUGUGCUCUGUUAUUCAUCUUCUCCCCACUAAACCUUGGCGACCACUGAUAUUUUUUAUUGCUCCCAUACUUACACCUUCUCCUCUCUCUCUCUCUCUUUUUUUACUUACACCUUUUCCAGAAGGUCUUAGUAGCUGUAACCUGCAAUCAAUAGGCUCUUCAGAUUGGCUUCCUCCACUGAGCCAUAUACAUUAAAGUUUCCUCCAUGUUUUUUCAUGGCUUGAUAGGAUCCUGAUUUUUAAAAGAAUCUUUUCUAUUAUUAUAGUUGAGGAGGUAUUUAUAGAUACAUAUGCCUUAACUCUUUAGAGAAACAAAGUAUACUUCUACUUACUUCCUGAAAUGACUCUAUCUCUCUUCUACAUCCUAGGAGGGUCCAGGAGGGUACAGGUAUCUUCUAGAACCUACAGCUGGCCGUUCACUGAUGUAUUUAGUGUCUAUCAUAGACCACUGUUCCAAACACCAGGGCUGGGUAACAUCCCCAACACUUAGUGGUGCAGUGCCAUCAUUUAUUAUGCUCACAGAUUCUGUGGGUUUGCACAUGACAAACCAGGGACGCCUUGUCUUGCCCUCCCAUGUCUGAUGCCUCAACUGGAAGACUUGAAGUCUACAGGAUGGAAUCAUUGGAAGGUCCCUUCAUUCAUCUCUCUGGCAGUGGGAGCUGGCUGUCAGCUGGGGGCAUUGUUUGCUCCCCACAAGCUAGUGGCUGGUUUCAAGGGAUACAAAUACGUCAAUGCCCUUUCAAUGGGGACUUUGCGGUGCCUGCCUAUAGAGUAAAGCAGAAUACAUAUCCCCGCACGAGUGAGUUUAAGUUUGACCAUGUGACUUGGUUUGGCCAAUGAAAUGCAGACUAACAUGUAUAAUGCUCGACAGAAAUUUUAAAUGUGCUUGUGUGGGCUACCUUGCCCCAUACCAUCUACCAUGAGAAGAGCAUGCCCUGAAGAGCUGCUUCUGUCUUCAGAUGAGAGGCACGUGGAACAGACCUAACCAGAUCUGAAGUCUGAAACACAAGUGCCCCAGUUGACCCAAACUACUGUGACUUUGGAAAAUAAAUUCUUGUUGGUAUAAACA
RNAcentral lists this long non-coding RNA (1455 nucleotides) under Vulpes vulpes (red fox). Its description in RNAcentral is "lncRNA (ENSVVUG00000014530.1)". The record is from RNAcentral. Lineage: Eukaryota; Metazoa; Chordata; Mammalia; Carnivora; Canidae.